CAGUAGCCGCGGUAAUACGUAGGUGGCAAGCGUUGUCCGGAAUUAUUGGGCGUAAAGGGCUCGCAGGCGGUUUCUUAAGUCUGAUGUGAAAGCCCCCGGCUCAACCGGGGAGGGUCAUUGGAAACUGGGAAACUUGAGUGCAGAAGAGGAGAGUGGAAUUCCACGUGUAGCGGUGAAAUGCGUAGAGAUGUGGAGGAACACCAGUGGCGAAGGCGACUCUCUGGUCUGUAACUGACGCUGAGGAGCGAAAGCAUGGGGAGCGAACAGGAUUAGAUACCCCCGUAGUCCCUGUCUCUUAUAC
RNAcentral lists this ribosomal RNA (301 nucleotides) under uncultured bacterium. RNAcentral describes it as "partial 16S ribosomal RNA". It matches the Rfam family "Bacterial small subunit ribosomal RNA", at positions 509 to 807 of the family's 1533-position model. The record is from RNAcentral.